Molecule: ribosomal RNA, 496 nt
Filed under: uncultured bacterium
Lineage: Bacteria
Description: partial 16S ribosomal RNA
Rfam family: Bacterial small subunit ribosomal RNA
Source: RNAcentral
AUGAACGCUGGCGGCGUGCCUAAUACAUGCAAGUCGAGCGAACGGACGAGAAGCUUGCUUCUCUGAUGUUAGCGGCGGACGGGUGAGUAACACGUGGAUAACCUACCUAUAAGACUGGGAUAACUUCGGGAAACCGGAGCUAAUACCGGAUAAUAUUUUGAACCGCAUGGUUCAAAAGUGAAAGACGGUCUUGCUGUCACUUAUAGGUGGAUCCGCGCUGCAUUAGCUAGUUGGUAAGGUAACGGCUUACCAAGGCAACGAUGCAUAGCCGACCUGAGAGGGUGAUCGGCCACACUGGAACUGAGACACGGUCCAGACUCCUACGGGAGGCAGCAGUAGGGAAUCUUCCGCAAUGGGCGAAAGCCUGACGGAGCAACGCCGCGUGAGUGAUGAAGGUCUUCGGAUCGUAAAACUCUGUUAUUAGGGAAGAACAUAUGUGUAAGUAACUGUGCACAUCUUGACGGUACCUAAUCAGAAAGCCACGGCUAACUACGUG